UAUAAGGAAAAUAAAAACCCUAAACCUAAUCCAUCCACUUUCCAGUACGAUAUCGUAACUCAUACCCUCAACGCCUUCACCUUCAAUCGUUUGACUCUCAUCUUCUUCUUCCUUUUCAAUUCCAGUUUCAGGUGCACCCAAUUGUUCAUCUCUCACGAUCGCCGCUCUGCCGACACCUCCGUUUGGCCUUCUCUUUCCCUCUCACACCCUCUCCGAACGCCAGUGAGAAAUCAACCAGCGUGAAACACAUUUCUCACAAAGGGGUCGAAGCUUUGUUAAUAGUGGGGAAUUGGAUGAAUGAAGAAAAUACCACUGGUGAUGGUGAUGUUCUUGCCUUUAAGCUCAAUGUGCUUUUCAUGCUUAUACACGUGAAGGGUAUCAUUGAAAAACUACACUUCUUUCAUUUUGUGGUGCAGGAGAUCAUUCGAGUUGAAGGUUGUUCCUUUGUAGAAAGUUAGUGAUGCCGCCUCGUUCCUUUUAUUUAAAUCUGUUUUAGAAAAAUGGAGGAAUUUUACGAUAGUCUUAUUUUCAUUUAAAACUUUUUAUUUAUUAUACAUCAUUAUCAAUAAAAAAACACUAAAUUUUAAUUA
Long non-coding RNA from Lactuca sativa (garden lettuce), 590 nucleotides. RefSeq lists it as uncharacterized. NCBI's taxonomy places the organism in Eukaryota, Viridiplantae, Streptophyta, Magnoliopsida, Asterales, Asteraceae. The record is from RefSeq and is a predicted model, not a curated record.